RNAcentral lists this long non-coding RNA (13234 nucleotides) under Gallus gallus (chicken). RNAcentral's name for it is "lncRNA (ENSGALG00010030076.1)". Lineage: Eukaryota; Metazoa; Chordata; Aves; Galliformes; Phasianidae. The record is from RNAcentral.
GUAAGAUUUCCAUUUGGGUUCGGAUCAGCAUCUGUAUAUUUCCAGUGAUCUGAUUAAAGAUGGUGGGGCUCAUCCAGCUCCAGCACUGCAGUGCUGGGGGAAGCUCAGGUCCCCACAGAGGAUCCUUGAGCUCUCUAACCCUGUUUUCUAAGGAAAUAUAAGGCAGGGUUCCAUUUAUUUAUUUCCAUAUCCCAGAUAUUGUCUUGGGAGAAGGGGAUUGUUUUCCAGAGCUCGUGUUGGUGCUGCUGAGCCUUUCCUAGGGAUCAGCCAAAACUUCCAGCUGGGCUCAUCAACUCUUCCUGGGCUACCUGAAAUGUUUAUCAGUCCUUGUGCCAAUCAGAGAAGUAGGGCCUGCAUCACUUCCAAUAACUCAGCCUUCACCUGAAGAUCAGUAUAACAUCUAAAUCUGUGUUUCAACACAGAGUUAGUGUGACCUGCUCCGCUCAGCUCUCUUAUCACUUGGGGCAUUUCAUGUUGCAGCCAUGUCUGUCCAAGUCUGAGAGAUAAAGUUUAAUCAAACGAAUGAUUUGUUAUUCUCCAGCAGGGAUUAACAAAGGUGUUUAAAACACUGUGUUCAUAUUCACCAUGAGGAUAAAGGGGAUUUUGGAACAGUGAUAUCACUGGGUUUCAGUGUGACCUGUAUGGUGUUAAAAGCAGGGGAAGCUGUGAUGAACCAUGCUGGGCAGUGACGUUCACAUGUGUACAACUAAAGUCCUUAAAGCAGAUGAGUAAUUUGGACUCAAUUUUUAUUUAAAUCAAGUCUCUGUUACAUGCAUCUAUGCCCACGCCUUGAAAUUCUCUCCAGUCAUGCAUUUGGCGUAGGUGGGAAUACCUCCUUCACAGGUAAACUUAGUGUUCCUUUCAUAGAGAAGGCCGUUACCAUUGACUUCCCUCUGUUAAGAAAAAAAAAGAGGAUUUUUUUUCAUAACAAUUUAACUUUGAGCAGUAUUUAUUUAUUCAAGAAGUUUUCCUGACAGUGUGUAAAAGAAGGAUCAUUUAGAAAAGAAAAAAAGGUUCAGUAAUGUAAGUCCUCAUUUGGGACUGCGUCUCAAAUUAUAUCUUUUUGAUUCUGACUUUCUGCCCAGGUUCCAGUGGAAACUUUUUUUCACUUAAAAAGCAAAUUUCUUUCUUUGAAGGCAACCAAUCUAGCAGUGUUUUUUUUUUUUUUUUCUUGUUUCUAAACUGCAGAGAAACUCUCAUGGCAGUGGUAUAAAGUUGGCCUGUGGCCUCAUGGGCCGUAAGGUGGGCUUGAUGGUGCUGUGUCAGUGCUUGUGUCAGUGCCUAGCCAUUGUUUUGUUCCCCCUUUGUCCACCGAAGCUCUGUCUUCAAUCCUGUCAUUUUUGGAGGUGUUUGCAGGCAUGGUUAUGUCUUUCCUCUUCCUGAGUUAAUGAUGGUACAGGCUGUCCAGAGAGCUGGUGGAGUCACCAUCCCUGGAGGUGUCCAGGAACCAUGAUUCUAUUGGCUCAGAAUGAUGCUUGUGCCUUUUGGGUCCCAGCAAAUAUAGAAUUUUAUGAGUCUGUAUAGGAAUUGUUGAAUCACAGCCUGAACCUCUGAUUGACCACCUGAGGCGAGUGCUGAGUCAGCCGCAGGGGCACAGGUGAACUCAAUUCUCCAAGACCCCAUUUAAGGGCUGACUCCCAAGGAGGAAGGCUCUCUAUCUGGAGAUCACCCUUCUUGGAGCCCUUCUUUAAGCCCAGGACAAGGAACAAAAAUGCCGUGUUAGAUGAAAACCAUCUGGUGUCAACAAAAACCAUCCCUGUGGUCAAGCAACAGCUUGGGACAAGUGGAUGUUGUUUGAAAAGUCACUGGGCCAGAAGCAGGGUUGAUUCCAGCCUCUGAAACGGGCACGAAUUCUUCUCUCGUAAUAAGAAAGGUGCCACCCAAACGUGCAGAGUCCCACUUGCCUCAGGUUAAGUUUUUACUGCUGAAUGGUGAAGCAAGAUGACAGCAUCAGCAGAAGAGCUGUUAUCAAGUAUCACUGCCUGCAUCCUGUGGUUGUGCCGUAAUGGACCAUGGGCAGCCUGGCUCCAGCCAAGUGCACAGCUCAGGCUCUGUGCAGUACUGCACAUCCUAAUUCAGCAUCAAACCUCUGAAUUCCCAUACGUGUGCCAUGAACAAGAGGAGUCUCCAGGAGGAAAAAAAAAAAAGCAAAGAAUGGGGGAAAAAAUGAGAAGGAAGGUCACAAAGCAGGAGCCCAGGUUGGCUUAGUCCCUGAUUAUGCUUUGGACUAGAGGCCAGGAUUUUCCCAUUGACAUGGACAAAUUGGUCUACUUUAUUGCAUUCUGGAGAUUUGAUCCUCCUCUGCAGUCUGCUGGGCAACUUCCAAAGGAUAGAAUUGGAUUCCUCACCAUAAAGUUUCUCCUUCCAAGAUGGAAAGGGCUUUUAUGGCAAAGUAUAAAAUCAAAAAACAAGCUGUCACUCGCAUUUGCUGCCCUGCUCUUUCUGUGCACUGUAAGAAGCACUCUCAGGGUUUUGAAGCCUGCUGUAUUAAGUGUGAGAUGGUGAAAAGGUCAUGACAGAAGGGCUGGUGAGAUUGAAAUCGAGUGCAGGAGCAUUCUGCAAGGAGGUGACUUGCCUGCUCCAAAUGCCCUGAGAAGUGAAGGCGAGAGCCUUAGCACAGCAUUGUGCUACCUGUGUCUUCUCCAUCCCUGCUACCUGCAUCCCUCCUUGCACAACCAGACCGUGGCUUUCAGGGUGACUGAUGUCCCCAUCAAGGAACAGUUUGUGACAAAGGAAUACAUCUUCCAUGAGGAGGAUGACCAGGAAUUGGACAACAUGAACUGAAGAAAACAUCUCCUGCCUCAGCAAUGGGCUCCCAAACCAAAACAGACAUUACUGCCUGGAAGUAAUUCGGAGGAACUCUACCAGCAAGUGUGAAAUGAAUGCAAAUGUGCAGCUUCUUUAGACUUAAUUGUAGAAGAGCAUCUGUUUACAUUUCAUUUCAGUACUACAGUGAACCCUCAUCUAUUGGGAAGUUUGCAGCCUGCAAAGAUAGCAUGUUGUUGAGUGGUUUUGAAAAGAAUAUACCAUCAUUCACCAGGUUCAUGCUGCUUGCCUCUAUUCAGCCACUCACCAGAGCCACCCUAUCGAAACUACAACUGUGGAUGUAAGCAUUUCUGAGAGCUGUAAUUGAACUCCCCAUCACAACCUUUACAGCAAUCAUUUUGAUUACUCUUAGCUUAGCAAUUAUGGCUGAGUGACACAUUUUCAGCUUUGGAAAACAAUAUGCCUAGCCCAGCUACCCUAUGCAUAAGUGUCUCAUAUACAUAUAUCCACAUAGAUAUACAUAUUUACCAGCUUUCACGUGCUAAAUGGUUUCUAAGCUCCUGCCUGCCAAGGAGCUGGUUGAUCCAUGAGCAGGAUUCCUGUUGGAUGGCUGCGUGAUGUGUGCCAACAGCUCCCUCUGGGUUUUUUGUCUGAGAUUUACUUCAGUUGCAGAAAAAUCAGGGAAUGUCUUUGUUCCCAGAAGUACUCCUGGCAGCCGACCUUGGAUCACGACCCAUCAUCGCAGCCCAGUUGCACAGUCUCUAGACAGCAUCUCCUCGGGGCCAGCACAACCUGGGGUGAUGAGACAAGCUCUGUAAUGGAAACGAUUGUGCCUUUGUGUCUGGGCAGCCAGCAAGUGUCAUUCUUUGAAACACAGCGGCUAUUUCAGAAAGAGCAUCUCUAGCGGAGAUGCAGCAGUUUUCCAGGGCACCAUGGAGACAUCCAGUUGCAUAACCCUGACAGUCACUGGGAGACAGUCUGCUGGCAAGCAUUACUGAUACCCCCCGCUCCUGCUCAGCAUGAAGUCCCAAUGACCUCAGCCCUUGGCCGCCUUGUCCACCUCCAACAAGGAAUGUUAGAGAGAACAUCUCAGGAGCCCCUCCCAUAAGCUAUGAACCAAAGCCCUUAAUUUUACAGCUACUAAAAUAUACCAAAGUUCAACACAAUAGCUUUUCAAGUUGACUAACUGGUACGUGGGAGCCAAAAAGCAGGAGCCAUGUAGAUUUAUCAUGUCGUUAAAGGGAACUGGGGUGAGUGUUAGGCAGAGGAUGGAGAUCGCGAACCCAGAGCUGAGGGCAACAGCUUUAUGAUGAGUUUCACCAUCUGAAAGCCUGGUGUUGUGCACUGCAGCAACCAGCGUUGAGCUCGUCAGAUCUCAGAUUUGCAGCAGGCUGCUUUGCUUCUUUGUUCAUCAAAACAGGGAAGAAAUAGUGGAGCACUUUGGAAAAAUCCUGGAGAAUCUGGUAGAGAUGGAAUUGAGGGUGCUUAGGAACUUGCAGAGUCCAAGGCAGAAAUUACUGUAAAUACUUGUUGAAUUUAGUAAGUGUUUUUAUGCUUCCUGUUGGGUUAUUUUUAACACUCUUGUAGGAUUCCAUAGUGGGAUAUGAUUAUGCAUUAAAUUUUAAUGGUUGUUUUAAAAAUAAAAGCUGUCGAAUGCUAUCAUUUUCUAUUAGGUAAUACAGAGUGCCUCCAUUAGGAGUGUUUUUCUCCUUCCAAACAAAGCCUAGGCAGGCUCGAGCAACAGUCAUGAGCAAAAUAAUCCCAGCUUGGGGAAGAUAUUAAUAAAAUCCAGGCUGCAAAAUGUGCAGGAAGCUGCUCUAAUGUAUCCAUUUCCAAUUUCUGUUCACACAGGUGAACUCAAGAGCAAACCAAGGUUCACCACAUCCUAAUUGCAUUUGGGGGCACUGCUGAAAACUUCAACUUUGAGAUUUUCCUUAAGGAAUUCUCCUUGAUUCGUAUCUUCUUUUGUGAUCAAGGAAAAGUUUUCCUGCAAUUUGAAGAACCUGUAUACAUUUCAUGCCUUUUCUAAUCUAACCCCAUGUGGCACAGAUCAAAGGCCUUCAUGAAGUUCAGAGCAUGAAGCUCAGUAAUCUUGCAUCCUGAAUGAAUUAUCUGCCAGGAAGAGGUUUAAGUCUCAUGUGAAGGUAUCAUUGGCUUCUGUCAUCAUGUACGCUCCUUUGGCUGUAUGAUUAAUUGCUGUGAUUUCUGUAGGACUAACAUGGUCAUGUCUCAUUAGCUGUCUUUGGCCACCACACAUUCAUCAGUCAGGCAUCAUCAGAACACCUUUGGUUUUUAAGAUCGUACUAGGUUUUCACAGAUCAUGCCCAAAUUUUACUGGAGUGCUUGUGAAUUCUGGUUGAAUUCAAGCCCCACUGGGCAAGGGGAGAAAUGUUCUCUGCAAGCUCAAGAGCUGAGCAGGCCAAGAUGAAGAAAGAUUGGGGAGAAUGUGGUCAGCUGCAAAUAUCACGUGAGUGUUCCCAGUAUCUGGGGUCAUUAACUUUGGUUUGGCAGGAUUUCAGUAGGAGGAAAUUUGCUAGAGGAAGAUGAGAAGAUCACCAGACAAGGGUGCCACAUCACUGUGCUCAGGACAUGAUACGUCAGGAGCUGGACUUCUGCCCUGCAGGGCCUUCUCCAGUUUUGGCUGCAGAACACCUGAGCAGCCCCUUCCAGCUGUAUUUCUGGGCCAUGCACACAUGCCAUGGCCAUGCUGAAUGCACAACACUCAGCAGCAUGGCAGGGGCUGUGUCCCAAAGGCACAGGGCUGGACACCACCUCCAUCUUCAUCCCAAGAGGAGAGGACAUCCCAUGGGAGAGGGACCAGUGCAGAGAGCUCCCAGCAGGGUUUUGCAGCAGCCAGCUUACAGUGGCGUGGCAAUGUGAAUGUCUGCAAGGUGCAGAGCUUUUUGUGCUGUGGAUUCUGUCUCCUUUUAUUUCUUGUGUAGGCAGUAUUCCUCCUGACUCCAUUUAUUUAUCUAGAUCCAUUGUGUGCUUACUAAUAGAGACAGCAUGUUCUGGUUUUUUUAGCUUGAGAAGUUGAGAAGGAAAUUCUCAUGAAAUAUGUUACCAGUCUAAAUUAUCCCAUGACUUGCCUACGUUUCAAAUUAACUGGUGGAAUAUCAACAAACAUAAUGGCAAUUCUUUUCCAAUCCCAUCUCCUCCAGUCAGUCUUUAGCCCACUUAUCAGACACUUGUUAUUACAAAAAUAAUCAGGAGAGGAAAAUACACCAGUGCUGAAUCAACACUACCAUACUUCUUUUUUUUUCCCCUCUUUUUGAACUCGUCCAACUUGCUUGGAUUCUGUUGGCCAUGCACCAGCCUGAAACUGGAGAAACACAGCUGGCUAAAUCCAUCACAUCUUAUUACAGGUUAUCAAUUCUCCCCUGCAAUAAACACAUUUGACAAUUAGCAGGGAAUUGAUGAGUGAGCCAGUUUGAUUGCUGCUAUUUCUUUACUCCUUAGUACCUGACAGAGAGGUUUACAAUGCAACCUUAAUUUGUAGAAAAAGCAAGACGCUGGUAAAGCCAUUAGCGUUUCUUAUACCCAAAAUGACAAAUGGUCUUUACAUUAAUCUCGAAUCACUUCUUUAAAGCAAGGAUCAGGAAAGAAUUUUCCUCGAAAGGAUAUUGCUGCCCAGCUGGGGAGGUGCUCUAAUAGGGCUUUCUCACCUUCUGGGGGAUCGAUAGCAUGGGGCUGCCAGGCUGCAUUGCUGGGCUCCAUAAAGCCAUUGGUGUAAUUUGUUUUGAUGAACCUUCUGCUUCAAAUAAUAAUAAUAAUAAUAAUAAAAAUUGCAAACUCUGCAUAGACAGAAGACCAAACCACACCAUGACUCACAUCGUACAGUAAACCAUUUAGGAGCAAUACUGCAGUGAUUGAGAUUUAACUCAUUCCAUUCCAUAUCUCUCUGCAAUUAAUCCAAUAUUUGGCCAGCUGGCUUUUUUUGAAUUUCAGUUCUUCAUUUGGGAAAAGGAAAAAAUAAAUAAAUCAAAGCUCUGCCAAUGCCAAUCACUGUAGCAAAGCUCCACAAUGGUCUGAAAAUAAGGACUGUCAGGGACUUCGAGAAGGAACCUACUCUUCCCAUCUCUCUCAAGACCUCCCUGAUCCCCAGGAGCCUUUCUCUGUGGCUGGGCCUGACAUUAGCUCCCAACAGCUUUGAUCCCAUGAGGUUUAUUCAGACAGAGGCAUCAUCUUUUGUGUUUAAAAUGGGCAUGCAUCAGGAAAAACACAAGCUACCUUCAGUGUAGUCUCAGAAUACCAGACACCAGCUUUGAUCUCUUCAAUGUGCAGAUAAAAUGAGGCUGGUGAGAGAAUGAAAUCUCCUUCCUUUUCAUUUGCUAAGUACAUUAAUGUGUUCUUGAUCUCAAAAUGAUUCUCAUUUACUCACUGUAAUCACAGCGUUUUCAUUCUUCUCUUUGUUUGUAGGGCCUUUGCUGUUGGUUUUCUUUUGUAAUCAAGAGGUUUUUUUUCUGUUCUUGCAAGCUGAAUAUUUUCCUGCUAGCAAACUUGUCCUAACUGUGCUUUACAAGUGCAUUCUUUCCUUCAUCUCAUUUCCUCCCACCCUGAGCUGGGGCAGAGAUUUGCUCUGGCAGCAGAUAUGAAGGCUGCAGAUAAUGCCGAGGAAAGCAAAGACCACACGGAGUAGUGUUGGCCUGAGCAGCAGCAAGAAAGUGCCCCAUGCACAUCCAUUAGGGAGAGUUUUGUUUGGCAGACCUCCCAGCCUAAUAAUCAGUUUGGUUGUGGUUAGGGUUGGUUUUUUUUUUUUUUUUUUUUUUUUUUUUUUGGUCUUUACUGCCUAUUUGGAAGAACAGCAGCAUUGGUGUUCUGGUGACUUGCUGAUCGUUAUACAGUUGAGGAAAUAGUUAAACAUAAUGAGAGGUCAGACUACAACUGCUCCACACCACCUCCAUGGCCAUAAGGGUUGUGCCCCAACACAAGAUACAAGAUGCUGUAAGGUGUUUAUGGUGUUGCUGCUGGGGAGGAUGAGAAGUCCCUCCCUCUGUUAAUAAAGAACAAAUGCUGGAUACAGAGCAAUGUGCUGACUCUUCCUGAGACUUAGAGGUACAUCUCAAGCCAAACAUGAGAUGAUGAGCCUCAUGUUCUCGUGGUUAAUGAGUGUGUGCAGUCAUAGCCUAUGGUUGCUGCCCAUUAACUUUGCUCAGCACACAGUGAGAGAGAGGUUAGAAGCUGAAUACUUGGGUUUGCAUUUGGUCAUAGACGUAGAAAACACAACAAAAAGCAAAGUGGAGAUUUCCUACAGCUCAGCUGGUGCAUGGUAAGCUCGCUAAAUCUCAGUAACUUGACAUCUCUUCCUGGCAAUUGAAAUUCUGCUUUCCCUGGGCUGGCAGUGUUAAAGAGGAAAAUACAAUGGCACUUCGUGGUGCUUGUGAUGGUUCAUGGAAAAAUGUGCAUCCCAAUCAUAUGACCCAGGAGGUACAUAGGAUGUAACAGAGUGCGGUGGGUGAAAAGCAGAAGUUCCCAAAUUGAUCUGUGUUGGGAAAAUCGUCUGCAGGUUCCAAUAACUGUGUCAGCUGAAUCGCUUGGACUGCUUUCGUGUGCAGAACCGUGCAGGAAAUCCCAACAAAGCAGAAUUUCUCGUAAGACUCCUGGUGCAUCAGCCUGCAGACCGAGCCAGAAAGAAACCACAAAAAACAAUUGCUCUCCUUGCUGUGCAGCUACUACAAGUCCCAGGUGGAACCUGAAAAUGAAAUGUGUGCGUGUGUCAAAAGAUCGCCGGGCUUUCCAAAAUCCACUCUUUGAAUACAGUUGCAGAAACAAGCACAUGAUGUGGGUCAGAGGGUCACUCUGUGUUUUAUACAUUGUUCUCUCAUCAGCUCUGCUAGAACUGACCCAAUGACUCCAUUUAUGUAGGAAUAUUAUUUGAAGUUUCUUAUACGUCGCAGAUUUGGGCACCCAAGAUGGUGCAUCACUUUGGAACAUCUUUAAGGAAACUUCAGAGCUGUUAUAUGCUUUACUGAACAAUGAACCCUAUUUCUUCAUUGUUGUUCUGGGAUGAAUAUCUGCUGAACCAGAAGUGUAGAAACAGUGAGAAGAAAUUGGCUCUAAAAGGUCUUUAAAGCUAACUUAUAUUCAAGGAUUCAUCAAGGACCUGGUUUGUCCUACUCCUACCUUUCAGAGGAGCGUAACGAGGAAGUUAGGAGGCUGGCAACGGUAAUACAAGAGAUCCAUGUCCAAGUCCAAAUAUUUCUGGUGCAUUCUGAAUGGCCAGUGUAUACCCAAGACUUGAUCUCUGUUACGGGGUUGCCUGCCUAUAAAACACAGCACUUUUUCCUUAGGGAUGACUUGUGUCUUUUGCAGUUUAUGAAGUAUCCAAGUCCUUUGUAAACAAGAUUUAAGGAAGUCUAACCAUUUUCACCUUGCAGCAGAGUUUCACGGAGAGCAAAAGUAAGAACUCAAACACCAGAGGAAAAGUUAACAAGAGAAGAGAGCAUUUGGGGUUCAUUAGGAAGACAUUGGAUGAGAAGUUGGGAAGCAGCAGAAAAAUGCUAUAGGGUAAAAAGGAAUUCUUUGUGCCAAGGAUCUUGUCUUGUUGUCUUCAUCUGUAAAAUAUCCAGAAAUCUGCUGGCACAACAUGAAACAAGACAGAGGCUGAAAGCAAUAAGACUGCGCUGAAAUUUAAGUCCUGUUAAAUUCAUUUUUUCCAGGGUUUGCAAGAGCUGUUUCCCUUCCACCUGCUGACCAAACAGGAUAGCAGUAAAAUACUUCCUCUUACUGACUCACAAAUCUGUCGGACGUGAUGAGGCCCAAUGGGAGUUUGGUGAUGUCUUAAAUAGUGAUUUGCUUUUUGCCUCAUGGCAAACAGCACUCCCGGACUGGUAACACAAGCUGUGCUUCCAGGCUAUGGUUCACAGGGCUAUCCAAACAGACUCAAAGAGGUCUUGGUCUCCUCUGUUGCAUGAAGAUAGGUCUUGUUAUUAUAGUUCUGUUUGCUCACAAGUGAGAUUGUGCAGGGAUUUUUCCAUUUCAGCGUACUGCAGAUGAGGGGAGCAGGACAGCAACUUCUGCAGAUGGUCCAGAGCUGACCUGAAGCUGUACAAACCCUUCUUCAGGGCCUUUCCCAAAGAGCAAACCAUGGGUUUGUGUGGCCCAGCACAGAUCGUUCUAAUCUGUCCUGCAGUUCUCUCUGUCCCUGCAGCUAUUGCAGUUUGGAGAGCAUUUCUCCUGCAGCUGAUGGCCAGAAAACCAGGAGGCAGCUCACUGGAGUAAAUCUCCAUUGAAGUUUUUUGGUUUUAUUUCCCUGCCAUAGAGGCAAGACAACAACGGAACAUUAAAGUGAGUUAUUAUAUGCUAUGGGUUUCGGAAACAUCCCUGUGCUUCCUUCCUAGGUCAUGUACAGCCCUGUGGUUUCUGCAGGCUCCGCUCCUGCUCGGAUGCCGGUAGCUUUCCAUUCCCACCGCCUGGAGCCGCUUCUCCAAAGUCUGACUAAACGUGUGUGUGUGUAAGGGGAAAUGAUUAACUCUGACCAUCUAUAGAAUGAAAUUCUUCCUACUUAAAGGUACUCCUGACAAAGCUGACUGGGAAGAAUUGCUAUGGUGGUUUCAAAUAGAGCAUACUGCACUUUUUCCAAAAACUUCUUUGAUAUUUUUUGUGAAGAGUAAAGAGUGGUUUCUGCAAAGGAAUAUCUGCCAUCUCGCUGCAAAUAAUCAUUGGAUUAUGGUUUUAAUUCUAAAAACAUACAUACCCACAGUUGCCCCACUGAAAAUAAAAUCCUUUUUAUCAAUUGAAUAUGCUGGACCUGAAAACAAGGUGACAGUCCUUAACAACAAGGCUCAGACCAUUAAGUUUUUGUUCUCUUUUGUCUCAAAAAAGGUAUUCAGGACUCGGACAUUCAUGUAAAAUGUCCUCCUAGCUCUCCACCCCCACCGGAGAUUUUAAACAAACGUUAAAGAAGGAAAGGAAUAGCAUAAGCAAAUUUCAAGGGACAGGAUGAAUUACAACCCAUCUGUAGUUUUUUUCCCAUUCUGCUGACAAUCUACACUGAACUCUGUCUGCGUUGUUGUGCAGAAAUGUGCCGGUGGAUUCUUGCUGAAGUUAUCCAUAGUCAUCUGAGCAGCCCAUAGGGCACUGCUGUCACAGUGACUGCCUCCAAGGCCACAGCAAAGCAGCCCUGUGCCAGUGGGGCCAAAGCUGUAGCAAAAACUAAACCCCAGAUGCUGGCUUUUCCUUUUCCUGAGUCACUGCUGUGCCCAUGCCAUCACCCUGCAGCUCUCUACAGGUGCCUGGGGAAUAUUCAGGGAAGGGCACAACACCAGUUGAACAAGAUGCUUUCCCAGUUUUGCCCCAUUGGAUGCACUGCAAGUCACCCCAGAGCCUUGAGUGAUGCCAUUCCGAGGCACAUGCAGAGCAAGUCCCUUUCUUCCUGUAAACAGAAAGAGAUGUUUUCAGUUUACAUGCUUCCAGUUUACAUUGCAUGGAAGGCUUAUGUAAGUAACAGGGGAAAAGAAAAAAACUUAAUGAAUUCAUAACAGCCCGGCUAGGCACGGCCUCCAGAGCUAAACCUGUCAGGAUCUGGCCCAAGGAGGAUGCUCACUGGGAGACCUGACAAGCAAGACUGCGGAACUACAAGGAUUUAUUGUACACCAAAAUAAUUCCUAUGCUCACUGAGCAAAGCUGCUGCCACAGAGUAACUGCUUUCAAAAGUAUUUUCCAUCAUGAUCUCCAAGUCCCUUUUCUUGCCCAGAUUCCAUCACAACAAACAGCCCAAGGAUUUAUAUGCCUCUCGCUUACCUUGUGAUGACAGCCUGACACACGGGUUGCACAGAGGGAGGAGAGGAAGGGUUCAGCUCUCCUGUGCCCAAGCCAGGCUGAGGGCUGAGGGCAGAGGUCCUGGAAUGGGGCUUGCUGCUGUCCUGGGUCUGCUGGCUCUGCUCUAAGAGCAGAGAAAGGUGAGAAAUAUCAACACCAAACUACCUAGAUCUUUUUCAAGCACAAUAGGAAGCACUUGAAGAAGUGUCACAUCACUCACUUGUAGCAAAUGGUAAACUUACGCACUUUAGAAAGAGAAGAUGUAGGGUAAUGAUGGGGACGUUUGAGGUCCUCAUUCUGUUUUCAUGUGCAUAUGCCCAAAACAGACAAAAUAUCAUCUCCAGAUAAAAGAGAGAUUUGUUGUCUCAGCAGUUCCUGAUCUGCUGCUCAGUGGUAGAAGCAGCUUAGCCAAAACCAUCACCAUCUUGCUGAUGUGCAUACUUACAGACAAAGAGAGAAUUCAUCUUACACAGCUCCAAGGUGUCCAAGUGUUGGCUGAUGAAUCCUGGGCUUGUGCAUGGCCUUCCUUUAUUUUUUGUGAAGAACAACAGGCACCUCCAGAAUUUCCUUCUGACCAACAGUACAUAAGGAUGAGACCAAACUGCACCUUCAACUCUAUGAUUGUUUUGGUUCCCUUCCAACUUGGGAUGUUCUAUGAUUCCAAUGGGCUGCAAAGGGCUGCUGGGUAAUGAGCCAGACUGUGUCAGCACCGUAUCUGCAGGAGUAUAGUAAUAAUGCAAGAAAAUUGUAUUAAUUGUAUUGUCAUAGCAAUCGAAAUUCCCAAAUAGCAUCUCUGUGCCACAGCCCAUCCAUGUAUCUCCUCCUGCUGAUAAAGACAGCAUGGAAAUGAGAGGAGGGACUAUCAAGAAAGGUGUCUGUGAUAAGCAGCACUCAAAAAUUGCAAAUGCAAUAGAAAGAGAAAGACGUGGCUGUACUAAAGAUCAGGGGAUAAAUGACAGUGGGUGUAGUGAGUGCUGAAGACUGUGGAAGAUACAAAGGCACAAAAAGAAAAGCAGAGAGCCUGCCUCGUGCUGGGAUCUCAGCUCACCCCACUGCACGGAGGAGCAGGUGCAGAGGAAGAUGUGGGGCAAACAGGGUGGUGGAGAAGAAUCAGAAAUAGCUUUGUUUAGGCUCGGAAAAGGAGGGAAAGGCUUGGAAAAGGAUUGCUUUCUAUAAAUAACCGAUGUAACCCCUCAGGGAAGGGAGAUAGUUAUUUAAGCUGAAGGACAAUGUUGGCCUGGAAUCAAACUGGUUGUGAGUAAAUAGAGGGGGGAAACAUGAAGCAGGUUUCUGAGCAUCACAGGAAAGAUGUUCUGAAACAACUUUCCAGGCGCAGCAGGAACCUGAGCGCUUCUAAAUCCGCUGGAGCAGGAAAUGGAUCUCCGUGCCAAGAUAUCUUUGCCAAUGGCAAAUUUUACCCUGCCUCAGAAAAUCAGACUGGAUGAAAUCCUGAGAGAUAGCUGAUAGCUUGAUAGCUUGACCGAAGACAGGUCUGCUCCUUCUGAUGGGAAGAGGGCUGUGCCCUGUAAAUAGCCACAUGUGACAUCCGAUGGCUUCUUUGUCCUUCGCUGUCCCAGUUAUUGCAGCAUUUUGUUGUUAGGACAGGCAUUUUUCCCCUUUAUCUUCCCUCUAUGUCCCUUUCCAUUGCUGGGCUGCUGGCAGCUGAUGGACCACUGUGGGACGGGUGGGAUGCUGGGGCCUGGGAAAC